Strongylocentrotus purpuratus (purple sea urchin) is the source of this 1258-nucleotide long non-coding RNA. RefSeq lists it as uncharacterized. The record is from RefSeq and is a predicted model, not a curated record. Lineage: Eukaryota; Metazoa; Echinodermata; Echinoidea; Camarodonta; Strongylocentrotidae. The transcript has 2 exons.
AACAUGCAAAAACUGACCGUUUUUGUACCUGGGCCGAGUUGUCCCCUGGUCCGAGUUAGCCCGACUCCCAAUGGAGAUAUAAUAAAGAAUUGAUAGCAACAUCUUAAACUUUCUUGUCAUUUAAAUACAAUGAAUUAUUGUUUUUUAAAUGUCACCAUUUUCCUUUUAAGGUGCUGUGCAUGCAAGUACUGAGGCAACAUGUGCACCAUCUGAAGGCAGUGCUGCGACAUCCAGCAGUGGGGAUUUCCCGAGGAAGACUACCACUGACACAAGGAAGAAACGGAGGCAAACCAAAACAAAAUUCGGUGCUCUUCAGAAUCUAGAGGAGGUCAAGUCCAAGUCAGCGUUAGUUUUCAAGGAAGCUGUUCUCCAGCUGAAGUCCAACGAAUUCUACCAAGAAACAGAAGUUGGGCGCAAAGUCAUCGCCCUAGCAGACGAGAUAAAUUUUCAUUCGGAAAUUGUUGAAGGAUCUGUGCGGGACAUAGUGCAGGACAUUGUUGAAAUAAUCAGUGCUGCAGAGGACAAGGCAGCAGGACCGGUGGCCAAUACCUUCAUCCUGACCAAAUUCCAGACUUACAAGUGUGGAAGUCGAGCGACUCAAUUAUGCCUGGCAAUGCUUUCUAUGGAGGAGCCGUCCAUUCCCUUUCGUUUUCUCCAGCAGUAUGUUCUCCGUGUUGUCCUUGAGAAGCUGAUGAAAAUUAUCAGGGGCGAUGGGUUUGAACCGGAGGAGGAGACAAGUCCGUUGUCAGUUCACGAUGAACAAGUUUUACGGUAUGUAGCCGGGUACAUACCGUACGCCCUCUGCAAAAAGUUUGGCCGGAUGAAGUCACAGAGUGCACUUGCAAUAACGGCAUUUCUGCGUGAGUGGAAGAAGGACGACGAUGACAACACAGAGUCCGACACUUUCCUACAGUACACAUCAGUUUGGUUGACUUUCCAGAACAGAGGGGGGCUGUUUGUUGUGUCAGACACUGUCUACAAAUUGUUCAGAUCUUUGGAGCUGGUGACAAGGAAGCUGCUCACUCUUGGAAAUAGUGAGACAGAAAGUUUGAAAGACAGAUUGUUGAAGCACAUUUUUGGAAGCGUACAUGUACAGAACAUGUGGUGCAAGGUGGCAGGCAGUCUAGACACGAAUUUGUCGGAACCUCUCUUUUCUUCGAUUGUAAACUAUUGGGUGAAGAUCAGAAUAUCAUCGUAUGUGAAGUUGUAUGUCAGUUCACUCAAGAGGGAAGCAAAAAUCGCAACUGGAAAAAAAAAA